CGGAGGAUCCAGCGUUAUCCGGAAUCAUUGGGUUUAAAGGGUCCGUAGGCGGUUUUAUAAGUCAGUGGUGAAAUCUGGUCGCUCAACGAUCAAACGGCCAUUGAUACUGUAAGACUUGAAUUACUUGGAAGUAACUAGAAUAUGUAGUGUAGCGGUGAAAUGCUUAGAGAUUACAUGGAAUACCAAUUGCGAAGGCAGGUUACUACAAGUAUAUUGACGCUGAUGGACGAAAGCGUGGGGAGCGAACAGGAUUAGAUACCCUGGUAGUCCACGCCGUAAACGAUGGAUACUAGCUGUUUGGAGCAAUCUGAGUGGCUAAGCGAAAGUGAUAAGUAUCCCACCUGGGGAGUACGCUCGCAAGAGUG
Molecule: ribosomal RNA, 365 nt
Filed under: uncultured organism
Description: bacterial SSU rRNA
Rfam family: Bacterial small subunit ribosomal RNA
Source: RNAcentral